ACACACGGAUAACAUACCGAAAGGUAUGCUAAUACGGGAUAAUAUAUUUGAGAGGCAUCUCUUGAAUAUCAAAGGUGAGCCAGUACAGGAUGGACCCGCGUCUGAUUAGCUAGUUGGUAAGGUAAAGGCUUACCAAGGCGACGAUCAGUAGCCGACCUGAGAGGGUGAUCGGCCACAUUGGAACUGAGACACGGUCCAAACUCCUACGGGAGGCAGCAGUGGGGAAUAUUGCACAAUGGGCGAAAGCCUGAUGCAGCAACGCCGCGUGAGUGAUGAAGGCCUUCGGGUCGUAAAACUCUGUCCUCAAGGAAGAUAAUGACGGUACUUGAGGAGGAAGCCCCGGCUAACUACGUGCCAGCAGCCGCGGUAAUACGUAGGGGGCUAGCGUUAUCCGGAUUUACUGGGCGUAAAGGAUGCGUAGGCGGUCUUUCAAGUCAGGAGUGAAAGGCUACGGCUCAACCGUAGUAAGCUCUUGAAACUGGGAGACUUGAGUGCAGGAGAGGAGAGUGGAAUUCCUAGUGUAGCGGUGAAAUGCGUAGAUAUUAGGAGGAACACCAGUUGCGAAGGCGGCUCUCUGGACUGUAACUGACGCUGAGGCACGAAAGCGUGGGGAGCAAACAGGAUUAGAUACCCUGGUAGUCCACGCUGUAAACGAUGAGUACUAGGUGUCGGGGGUUACCCCCUUCGGUGCCGCAGCUA
RNAcentral lists this ribosomal RNA (699 nucleotides) under uncultured bacterium. RNAcentral's name for it is "bacterial SSU rRNA". It matches the Rfam family "Bacterial small subunit ribosomal RNA", at positions 135 to 854 of the family's 1533-position model. The record is from RNAcentral.